Molecule: ribosomal RNA, 647 nt
Filed under: uncultured bacterium
Lineage: Bacteria
Description: bacterial SSU rRNA
Rfam family: Bacterial small subunit ribosomal RNA
Source: RNAcentral
CGCCGCGUGAGGGAUGAAGGUCUUCGGAUUGUAAACCUCUGUCACUGGGGAAGAAACGCUUCAAGCCAACACCUUGAAGCCUGACUUAACCCGGAGAGGAAGCAGUGGCUAACUCUGUGCCAGCAGCCGCGGUAAUGCAGAGACUGCAAGCGUUAUUCGGAUUCACUGGGCGUAAAGGGUGCGCAGGCGGCAAUGUGUGUGAGACGUGAAAGCCCGGGGCUUAACCUCGGAAUUGCGCCUCAAACUACAUUGCUAGAGCAUUGGAGAGGGUAGCAGAAUUCACGGUGUAGCAGUGAAAUGCGUAGAUAUCGUGAGGAAUACCAGAGGCGAAGGCGGCUACCUGGACAAUUGCUGACGCUCAGGCACGAAAGCGUGGGGAGCAAAAGGGAUUAGAUACCCCUGUAGUCCACGCCCUAAACGGUGCACACUAGGUCUUGGCGGAUUCGACCCCCCCAGGGCCCAAGCUAACGCGUUAAGUGUGCCGCCUGAGGACUACGGCCGCAAGGCUAAAACUCAAAGGAAUUGACGGGGGCCCGCACAAGCGGUGGAGUAUGUGGCUCAAUUCGAUGCAACGCGAAGAACCUUACCUGGCCUUGACAUGCAUUAGACCGGCGCUGAACGGCGCCUUACCUUCGGGGCUGGUGCCA